This 386-nucleotide ribosomal RNA is filed under the name uncultured bacterium. RNAcentral describes it as "bacterial SSU rRNA". It matches the Rfam family "Bacterial small subunit ribosomal RNA", at positions 30 to 418 of the family's 1533-position model. The record is from RNAcentral.
AUUGAACGCUGGCGGCAUGCCUUACACAUGCAAGUCGAACGGCAGCACGGGAGCAAUCCUGGUGGCGAGUGGCGAACGAGUGAGUAAUAUAUCGGAACGUGCCCGGUCGUGGGGAUAACGUAGCGAAAGCUACGCUAAUACCGCAUACGAUCUACGGAUGAAAGCGGGGGGAUCGCAAGACCUCGCGCGAUUGGAGCGGCCGAUAUCAGAUUAGGUAGUUGGUGAGGUAAAGGCUCACCAAGCCGACGAUCUGUAGCUGGUCUGAGAGGACGACCAGCCACACUGGGACUGAGACACGGCCCAGACUCCUACGGAGGCAGCAGUGGGAAUUUGGGACAAUGGGCGCAAGCCUGAUCCAGCAAUGCCGCGUGCAGGAUGAAGGCCUC